UGGUUCUUGGUGCAGCGCCAAGAAGAGAGGGAACAGGUUUUUCCAAAGAGUUUGGGCCGUUUCACACAGAAAGCGAAACGUGCCAGUUGAAAAUGUAAUAUUGGUCCUAAUCGAACCAAAUCUACUGGACUGGAAAACAAAUAAGGAUCAGAGACUAGAGAACAGGGGAGACAUCAAACAGAGCAAACACAUGCAAAGGAAGCCCUAAAAAACAUUUCCACCCACGUCUUAGUCACCCGGUGCACGCCCCUAUUUCCUUUAGCAACCAAACGAGUGAACUGGUCAUCCUGUUUUCAACAAAAGAAAGCCGCCAUGUUGUCUUUGGGGCAGCUCUCGGUCAGAGCAGGCAGAAUGGAGAUGCACUCAGACAGACGGAUGAUCUUCUUGUCCAG
Poecilia latipinna (sailfin molly) is the source of this 392-nucleotide long non-coding RNA. RefSeq lists it as uncharacterized. The transcript is spliced from 3 exons. The record is from RefSeq and is a predicted model, not a curated record. Lineage: Eukaryota; Metazoa; Chordata; Actinopteri; Cyprinodontiformes; Poeciliidae.